Long non-coding RNA from Gorilla gorilla gorilla (western lowland gorilla), 2014 nucleotides. RefSeq lists it as uncharacterized. The transcript has 6 exons. Lineage: Eukaryota; Metazoa; Chordata; Mammalia; Primates; Hominidae. The record is from RefSeq and is a predicted model, not a curated record.
UUCCUUCCCUCUACAGCGGUCCCAUCAGGACAUCUAUAAACCAUGGAGUUUCAGGUGCAAGGUUGGAAAUCCACAGGAACUCACUCUCAUGUGUGCAUCAUUCAGUGAUUUCUCCACACACAGUGGGCUGUCAGAUACAUUUAUAGCUUUUUUUCUUUACAUUGUGCAUCCUUUUCUUGAGACAGCCCUGAUUGCUAUUCCAAUGUCAUCACAAACCCCCAGGAUGCUUGGAAGGCCAAGGAAUCAAGGUCAGCUGUAUCCACAGCCCUAGUCUCAAGCCUUCAUCCUCUUACCCGAUAGCAGGCGAUUCCCAGUCCUAGCCAGGAGAAAGUUUGGAGAGAAGUCCUUUUGAAGCCCAUGAUACCUUCUGUUAGAUAGAUGAGCCCCAGUCUCAGGAAGAUGAAGUGCAUCUCAGAAGCAUCCACUACAAAGCUAAUGGCAGACCUCCUAGAAUGCCCUUCUUCUCUGAGAGGAGGCUUCAAUUCUUCAGCUGCUCUACCUGUGACUGCAUGGGAAGCUUCUGGAGGAUGUGCUCCACCAAAAUGAGGAAGCAAAGUAUGAAAGAGGAAGGCACAGAAUCCAAGAAAUGAUGCAUCUUGAAGUUAAAGGAGAUUUUCAGAAUCACAGCAAAGGAACAUCCCAGGAGAAGAGUUACCCAUCAGGCCUAGAGGGUAAGCACUGAGAACUGAAGAAGGAAGAUAGAAGACUUUGGAGGAAGAAAUAUCUCUAGGGGGGAAAAAUGGACUGAUGCAUUUUAACAUCUAUCUAUCUAUCUAUCUAUCUAUCUAUCUAUCUAUCUAUCUAUCUAUCAUCUAUCUAUUUUUUUGAGAUGGAGUCUUGCUCUGUCACCCAGGCUGGAGUGCAGUGGCGCAAUCUGAUCUCACUGCAACCUCCGCCUCCCAGGUUCAAGUGAUUCUCCUGCCUCAGCCUCCUGAGUUGCUGGGACUACAGGUGCCCACCACUACACCCAGCUAAUUUUUGUUUUUUUAGUAGAGACGGGUUUCGCCAUAUUUGCCAAGCUGGUCUUGAACCCCUGACCUCAGGUGAUCCACCCGCCUUGGCCUCCCAAAGUGCUGGGAUUACAGGUGUGAGCCACCGUGCCCGGCCAAACAUAUCAAAAACAUUGAUGGGCACUUGACAAUACUUUUGAAGCAUGCGGGGGAAAAAGGCAAAAGGAACACAGAAUACUAAGUUUUCUGAAUAAAUUAGGCAAUUUUUAGUUCUUGGAAAAAUAAAGCUAUAAAAGAACAAAAAAAUACAGAAAGUGGCUCAGCAGAGAAUAGCAUGUUUAUAGAAAUAAUAAUAUAAACAUUGAUAUUGAUGUGUCUUACCUGUCUAAUAUAUCUCAGGUUCUGUCAAUGCCAUAGACCCUCAGGUGCAUGCUCUGUAUCAGGCACUUUGGCAACUACUUCUCUAUGAGAGGCCCAGUCACAGUCCUGCUGCUAAGGCUGACUGCCAGCACUUGGGUUCAUGGAGUCCUACUACCUAGGAACUACUUAUUUCUUCACCAAAGAGAGCCAGGCCCUCCCCGACCCCUUGGUUGGACAGUUAGUUCAACCAGCCACAUAAUCUGAGUUCCUGGCUCUUCCCACCACUUCUGGAUUGGACAGAAUUCUACACUUUAGGGUAUGGCAUAUGACUUCUCAAGCAGGUACCAAAUGGAUCAGACUAUAGAACUUGGAAGUAUGGGUCCAAUUAACUCCACAGGUGAUUAAUUUUGACCAGCGGAAGAGAAGAGACAAAAUAACAGGUUCUCUUUCCUUCUUCCUUUCCAUAUUAUUCAGUCAUGGUUUCCCUAUAUAGCCUGAAUGCUUGGAGAUGUCCCACAAGACUAAGCAAGUUUACCUGCAAAGCAACCAGCUGCAUUCUUUGCAGUUUAUCAUAAUGAAAUGGCCAAUGUAGACAUAAGGUGUCACCUUACAUUGGUUCAUAUCCUUUGUUGCCUCUCUUACUGUUUUUUCCUCACUCUGCCUGUUCUGAAAUUAACUCUUCUAAUUAAAGUAUUAGCAUUAAA